UACGAAGGGGGCUAGCGUUGCUCGGAAUUACUGGGCGUAAAGCGCGUGUAGGCGGGUCGGCAAGUCAGGCGUGAAAUCCCCAGGCUCAACCUGGGAACUGCGCUUGAAACUGCCGGUCUUGAGUAUCGGAGAGGGUGGCGGAAUUCCUGGUGUAGAGGUGAAAUUCGUAGAUAUCAGGAGGAACACCGGUGGCGAAGGCGGCCACCUGGACGAUAACUGACGCUGAGACGCGAAAGCGUGGGGAGCAAACAGG
Molecule: ribosomal RNA, 253 nt
Filed under: uncultured bacterium
Lineage: Bacteria
Description: partial 16S ribosomal RNA
Rfam family: Bacterial small subunit ribosomal RNA
Source: RNAcentral